UUUUUUGUUCUUAAAUAUUUUCCUCACGGUUCAGAAGAACCCCACUGCGCGAAAAUGAUAAAGAAGUAGUAUAUGUAACCCUAGCAGGCGAAUAAUACACACCACUAUAAGAACAGACUUCAACUCGUACACCGAAGAUAUUUGCAAGCCAACAAAUGAAGAUGCUGUGGUUGCUGGCCUGCCUCGCACUCAUGGUCUCCGUGGCUGAGUGCGACCCUGUGAACGACACGGACUGCGUGUUAACGCAGCAGCUCGAUGGGUCUCUCCGCAACGUCGCUGAGGAUGUAGGAAUAGAACUAGUGCCCAACCUGAGCAACUGUAGCCUAAAGAGCGGGUAGCGCGUACUGCCCAGGUGGCUGUGUUUGCUGAUGCAUGUUUAACCUCUUCCACGAUACCCACUGCAUCUUCCUGGAUUACAACUGCGACUUCAUCAUGCGCAUUCUUCUUGGCGAAGUUUAUUUCUCGAAUCCAAGUUUGUAUCCAAAAAUUUUUUUAAAUUAAAAUUUGAAAUCACAAAGAAUUAAAAAAUAUUAUAAAUAUUUUUAUGUCAAAGAAUACAAAACAUUGAAAAAAUUGUAAUUUAUUUAUAUAUAAUUCGAACGGAAUACAACAAUCAAUUAAUCUACUGCUGCGUACUUAUUUGUGAAAUUUGUUAAUUGUUCUUUUAUGACUGUAAAACUGUAUUGAAAAAAUAUAUAUAAAAAAUAAAAUUGGCACUUUA
Long non-coding RNA from Bacillus rossius redtenbacheri, 721 nucleotides. RefSeq lists it as uncharacterized. Lineage: Eukaryota; Metazoa; Arthropoda; Insecta; Phasmatodea; Bacillidae. The record is from RefSeq and is a predicted model, not a curated record. The transcript is spliced from 2 exons.